Molecule: ribosomal RNA, 336 nt
Filed under: Triticum aestivum (bread wheat)
Lineage: Eukaryota; Viridiplantae; Streptophyta; Magnoliopsida; Poales; Poaceae
Description: partial small subunit ribosomal RNA
Source: RNAcentral
AUGUCGGGCAAGGAAAAUACAUUUGCUUGUCGAGAAGAAAACUCUGAACUGCUUAUUGGAGCCAACUGGAAAUAUGACACCCUCUGCGAUCUGGUUUUUAUCGUUUCUGGUCCCAUUGGUCGGCUGGUGUUGACACAAUGUGCCCUGGAUCGCUGCUUUUGGGAGGGGGGCGGGGGCGGACACGCCUCUUUUUUGCCUCUUCAUGGACAGCGUGGGGAGGAGAAAAGGCAGUGGGCAGCUUUGUGGAUUUGCUGGAUUGAUUGCGCGUGGGGGCUUCGAGGGGCAGUGCUGCUCCAACCGGCUACCGCAUCAACAACCACAGGAACUACUUGGUAG